Molecule: non-coding RNA, 1761 nt
Organism: Microcebus murinus (gray mouse lemur)
Lineage: Eukaryota; Metazoa; Chordata; Mammalia; Primates; Cheirogaleidae
Source: RefSeq, a predicted model, not a curated record
GCGACUCCUUGCUGCCACACGGCAGAGCCUGGCCUCGAGCCCAGGCCAUCGCCUCUGUCCCGGCUCCGAAAACGACGCCCCAGGUGUGGCGCUUUGCCGCCCGAGCUGCAGCAGCCGCCUCAAGGUCCGUGUGACCUCUCCGCCUCCCCUCCCUGCGUCCCGCCUCUCCCGAGGCACAGUUCACUGAGCUCCGAUGCAACCCAUUGCGUGGAUGCUCUGUGACCCUCUGUCCCCCCUCCCGGCGAGUGAGGGAGGCUUACACCUGAAGUCUGUUCUUGCUGACUCUGCCAUCAAAGGUGCUCCCUUGGGGAAUGAGGAUUGUAGCCGGCAGCCAGAGGGGGCGGAGAGACACCGUCAGCUAAGGCAGAAAGGGUGUGUGCGGUCUGGAUACCUGGACUUUAAUACGAAGCCUUUUUUUCCAGCUGUGUGACCUCAGGACUCUUAAUACCGGCCCAUGUGCCUCCUGGAGACAAAGUGAGUCGUGGGAGAACUUCCUCCCCUCCUCUGGCCCUGCGUCAGUGCAUCCUCCUUGACCUCGCCAGGCAGUGACCGGGCUCGGGGGUACCAGGUCUAGCAGCAGGUGACGUUCUCGUGUUCCACGACAGCCUUCAGCCCCUUGGAGGAGGGAGGAGAUUCGGCUUCACUGAGCUCUGCGGUGCACACAGCCCUGCUGACUCACUUAAUCUUCAACACCACAGGGCGUGACUCUGCCCAUCUCUCAGAGGGGGACGCCGGGGCCCAGGGGAGCUAAGUAACCUGCCAAGGUUGCCCCACUCAGUAAGCGGUGGCUCGGACGUUGCUCUGCUGUCCUGACAGCCUGCCGCAGACUCACGGCAGGCAUUUGAGGGUGGCGCCCACAUUCAGCCAAGCCCUUCCCCUCCCCGUGCAGCCCGCAGAUCACCCUCUCUCCAGACGACACUUCAAGAGACAGGGCUCCUGAACUCUCACUUCUUGGGUGACAUUCUUGCUGUGCGUUCCCAGUGAAAUGUAGCGCCCAGGCCUGGUACCUUUCCAAAAGAAGUCUGAGCCCUGUGCCCGUUACCUCUGCUGACCUGAACAUUAUACCUCCUCCCCGACCCCAGGGCUCCAUUCGCUUUUGAAGCAGCCGCUGCCCUGCGUGGGCUCAUGUGAAGCUCGGGGUUACCUGAAACCCCCGUGUCUGUUUCACAUGGACUGCGGCCAAGGCAAGAUGCUCCUGGAGCAGUUACUCGUUUGGAUCCCAGCUGCAGGCCCCGGCAUUGGUCGGGACUGUGGUUUUCACGGUUUGGGCUAACAUUACAGCUAUAAAAAAAUGCGAUAGGUGUUGGUUUAUCUAUAUGGCCAUUUGUUGGCAAUUAACGAAUUCAUGUUUGUGUGUCUCACAUUCCCAAGCAGAUUGCUAGUUCCCUGAGGGCAGAGGACCUGCGUUGUCUCCUCUGUGUCGCCCAUGGGGGCCUGGCACAAAGGGUGCAAACAGCAGGUGUCCACUGGCAUUCCUACUGCCCGUGGGGGGACAGAGACCCCACCCUCCACUCCCAGUCCUUCCAGGGCUCAGCACGCCCCUCGGGACACCCCAGCAGCUGACUCGGGACACAGAACACCCCCACCUGCAACAGCCCAACAGAGUGGUGCCCUGCGGCCGUGAUGGUGGGCAGGGCGGGAGGAAAGAGCACCUGCCCUGGAGCCAAGAGAUCCACAUCUGCGUCCCAGCCACAGCUUGUGACUCGUGCUGUUCUCUCACUUGUAAAACGGGGACAAUAAAAAUAAGUAUUAUGUGUUGAA